GGUCCAACCGUACACAGCAUAGGAGCCACCCAGGGCACUGGCUUAGGGCCAGACCUCCAACAAAGCAGGCUAGACACAUGUGCUAACAGGAACCAGAGACUGUGUGGACCACGUGGGCUGAGUUGGGAGAAGGCAGUCUGGAGGAAGCCGCCUUGUGGAGCCCCACAGCUUCCGAAGGCUGCGGUGCUUGGGUACCACUGCACCAUGAUGACAAGGGUGACCCAGGAGGCAUGCUGGCAGGACGCAGCACAGAGAAACCAGGCCGUCCAGCAACAUCAGAGCCGCCAGAAGUGCACACGGCAACCAGGCCUUACCUCGAGCCCUGAGGAAAAGCACGUGGAUGGGUGUUAAGACCCACCUGGUGCACAUCAUGACAGGCUCUGCCAUAGUCCAGGCUGAGUGUGCAGAGGAGAAAUGGUAUACGGCCUGCAGCCUGGGACCUAGAAGGGAGACGUCAAGACAGAUCUCGCUCGGUGACUAAUCUUCCCUUCUGCCAGUUUAGCUCUCUAGAACUAUCUGAAGAUGCGGGGUAGUGAGGUGGGGGAAGGAAGCUGCUCAGACAUUGCCUGACCCCAGACUCUGUCUUCCCCUACCAGAGCUGCUCCCCAUGAGGAGGGUUCAGCAUGGGUCCCAGGAAGCAGGCUAUGGGGCUCCAAUAAACAGGAC
Molecule: long non-coding RNA, 666 nt
Organism: Meriones unguiculatus (Mongolian gerbil)
Lineage: Eukaryota; Metazoa; Chordata; Mammalia; Rodentia; Muridae
Exons: 3
Source: RefSeq, a predicted model, not a curated record